Molecule: long non-coding RNA, 298 nt
Filed under: Trifolium pratense (red clover)
Lineage: Eukaryota; Viridiplantae; Streptophyta; Magnoliopsida; Fabales; Fabaceae
Description: long non-coding RNA (TPRA_LNC003938)
Source: RNAcentral
AAAAAAAUAAACUCUACUCUAUUUAUUGGUUUUUAUUUUUCAACUCAAUACAUAUUCUCUCAUUUUAGGGAGUAACCCAAAAAAUAGCAUAAAAAUAUCAUUUGUGGAAAAACAAGAGGUAAAAUGUUUGAAAAUUGAAUCAGGGAAAAAAAUAAAGGAAAUGGGAAUUAAUGCCUUGCUAUUCCUGUGACCUCCCUUGUUAUUAUAGAGUUAUCUCCAAAAACUAAGGCACACACAUUAAUAACUCAGAUUUGUAUAGUCUAGCUAUGAUCAAUUACUAUUUUCAUAUAGUAUUCAU